ACGGGUGAGUAACGCGUGGGUAACCUACCCUGUACACACGGAUAACAUACCGAAAGGUAUGCUAAUACGGGAUAAUAUAUUUGAGAGGCAUCUCUUAAAUAUCAAAGGUGAGCCAGUACAGGAUGGACCCGCGUCUGAUUAGCUAGUUGGUAAGGUAACGGCCUACCAAGGCGACGAUCAGUAGCCGACCUGAGAGGGUGAUCGGCCACAUUGGAACUGAGACACGGUCCAAACUCCUACGGGAGGCAGCAGUGGGGAAUAUUGCACAAUGGGCGAAAGCCUGAUGUAGCAACGCCGCGUGAGUGAUGAAGGCCUUCGGGUCGUAAAACUCUGUCCUCAAGGAAGAUAAUGACGGUACUUGAGGAGGAAGCCCCGGCUAACUACGUGCCAGCAGCCGCGGUAAUACGUAGGGGGCUAGCGUUAUCCGGAUUUACUGGGCGUAAAGGGUGCGUAGGCGGUCUUUCAAGUCAGGAGUGAAAGGCUACGGCUCAACCGUAGUAAGCUCUUGAAACUGGGAGACUUGAGUGCAGGAGAGGAGAGUGGAAUUCCUAGUGUAGCGGUGAAAUGCGUAGAUAUUAGGAGGAACACCAGUUGCGAAGGCGGCUCUCUGGACUGUAACUGACGCUGAGGCACGAAAGCGUGGGGAGCAAACAGGAUUAGAUACCCUGGUAGUCCACGCUGUAAACGAUGAGUACUAGGUGUCGGGGGUUACCCCCCUCGGUGCCGCAGCUAACG
Molecule: ribosomal RNA, 735 nt
Filed under: uncultured bacterium
Lineage: Bacteria
Description: bacterial SSU rRNA
Rfam family: Bacterial small subunit ribosomal RNA
Source: RNAcentral